Molecule: transfer RNA, 73 nt
Filed under: Spirochaetia bacterium
Lineage: Bacteria; Pseudomonadati; Spirochaetota; Spirochaetia
Description: tRNA-Arg
Rfam family: tRNA
About the family: Transfer RNA (tRNA) molecules are approximately 80 nucleotides in length. Their secondary structure includes four short double-helical elements and three loops (D, anti-codon, and T loops).
Source: RNAcentral
GCUCCCAUAGCUCAGAUGGAUAGAGCGGCGCCCUCCUAAGGCGUAGAGCCAGGUUCGACUCCUGGUGGGAGCA